UGCCAUAGCUCAGUAGGUAGAGCAAAGGACUGAAAAUCCUUGUGUCCCCGGUUCGACUCCUGGUGGCAC
This 69-nucleotide transfer RNA is filed under the name uncultured Porphyromonas sp. It matches the Rfam family "tRNA". Rfam says of the family: Transfer RNA (tRNA) molecules are approximately 80 nucleotides in length. Their secondary structure includes four short double-helical elements and three loops (D, anti-codon, and T loops). The record is from RNAcentral. RNAcentral also lists the same sequence under 1 other name. Lineage: Bacteria; Pseudomonadati; Bacteroidota; Bacteroidia; Bacteroidales; Porphyromonadaceae.